RNAcentral lists this ribosomal RNA (468 nucleotides) under uncultured bacterium. RNAcentral describes it as "partial 16S ribosomal RNA". It matches the Rfam family "Bacterial small subunit ribosomal RNA", at positions 28 to 507 of the family's 1533-position model. The record is from RNAcentral.
GAUGAACGCUGGCGGCGUGCUUAACACAUGCAAGUCGAACGGAAAGGCCCAAGCUUGCCUGGGUACUCGAGUGGCGAACGGGUGAGUAACACGUGGGUGAUCUGCCCUGCACUUCGGGAUAAGCCUGGGAAACUGGGUCUAAUACCGGAUAGGACGAUGGUUUGGAUGCCAUUGUGGAAAGUUUUUUCGGUGUGGGAUGAGCUCGCGGCCUAUCAGCUUGUUGGUGGGGUAAUGGCCUACCAAGGCGUCGACGGGUAGCCGGCCGGAGAGGGUGUACGGCCACAUUGGGACUGAGAGACGGCCCAGACUCCGAAGGGAGGCAGCAGGGGGGAAUAUUGCACAAUGGGAGCAAGCCUGAUGCAGCGACGCCGCGGGGGGGAUGACGGCCUUCGGGUUGUAAACUCCUUUCGCUAGGGACGAAGCGUUUUUGUGACGGUACCUGGAGAAGAAGCACCGGCUAACUACGUG